RNAcentral lists this ribosomal RNA (424 nucleotides) under uncultured archaeon. RNAcentral's name for it is "partial 16S ribosomal RNA". It matches the Rfam family "Archaeal small subunit ribosomal RNA", at positions 323 to 746 of the family's 1478-position model. The record is from RNAcentral.
CUACGGGGGGCACCAGUUAGGAAUCUUUUGCAAUGCACGAAAGUGUGACAAAGCGAACCAAAGUGCUUUUCUAUUAUUGAAAAGCUUUUGCUCUCUCUAAAAAGGUGGGUGAAUAAGGACUGGGCAAGACUAGUGCCAGCCGCCGCGGUAAUACUAGCUGUUCAAGUCGCAGCCAUCUUUAUUGGGUCUAAAACAUCCGUAGCUUGCUCUGUAAGUUCCUUGUGAAAUCCGGCUUCUUAAGCGUCGGGCGGGCAGGGAGUACUAUUUAGCUAGAGACUGGAAGACGUAAGGAGUACGUUCGAAGUAAUGGUAAAAUAUGUUAAUCUUGAGCGGACUAACAACAGCGAAGGCACCUUACGAGGACAGUUCUGACAGUAAAGGAUGAAGGCUAGGGGCGCGAAGUGGAUUAGAUACCCCUGUAGUC